Molecule: ribosomal RNA, 533 nt
Filed under: Chrysotus sp. 173
Lineage: Eukaryota; Metazoa; Arthropoda; Insecta; Diptera; Dolichopodidae
Description: partial 12S ribosomal RNA
Source: RNAcentral
GUGCCAGCAGCUGCGGUUAAACAAAAAAUACUAAUAAAUUAUAUUUAAUAAUAAUAAAAGUGUUUAUUAAUUAAAUAGAAAAAAAUAUUAAGUGAAAUUUUAUUUCUUUUUGUAAUUUUUAGAUUAAUUGAUUUUAAUAAAAUUUGAUUAUAAACUAGGAUUAGAUACCCUAUUAUUCAAUUUGUAAUUAAAAGUAUUUGAGUAGUAGUAGUUAAAGUCUUGAAACUUAAAAAAUUUGGCGGUAUUUUAGUCUAUUCAGAGGAACCUGUAGUGUAAUUGAUAAUCCACGUUGGACCUUAUUUAGUUUUGUUUUACAGUUUGUAUACCGCCGUUAUUAAAAAAUUUUAUAAGAAUAAUAAUUUUUAUGAUUUUUAAUUAAAAAAUAAAUCAGGUCAAGGUGCAGCUUAUAAUUAAAUAUUUUAUGGGUUACAAUAAAUUUAUUUAUUAUGAAUUAAAUUGUGAAAAAUAAUUUAUGAAAGUGGAUUUGAAAGUAAAUUUUUAUAGAUAAAAAAAUUGAUUUUAGCUCUAAAAUA